CGUUAGCGGCGGGCCUAACACAUGCAAGUCGAACGCGAAAGGUCUUCGGACUGAGUAGAGUGGCGCACGGGUGAGUAACACGUAGGUAAUCUACCCUUUGGCGGGGGAUAACGUUCCGAAAGGAGCGCUAAUACCGCAUAAGACCACGGAGUCUCCGGACGCUGUGGGAAAAGGUGGCCUCUUCUUGAAAGCUAUCACCGAAGGAUGAGCCUGCGUCCCAUCAGCUAGUUGGUAAGGUAAUGGCUUACCAAGGCGAAGACGGGUAGCUGGUUUGAGAGAAUGAUCAGCCACACUGGCACUGGAACACGGGCCAGACUCCUACGGGAGGCAGCAGUGAGGAAUAUUGGGCAAGGGGCGAAAGCCUGACCCAGCCACGCUGCGUGAGUGAUGAAGGCCCUCGGGUCGUAAAGCUCUGUGGAGAGGGACGAAAACCCUGGUUUCAAAUAGGCUCCAGGCUUGACGGUACCUCUUUAGCAAGCACCGGCUAACUCUGUG
RNAcentral lists this ribosomal RNA (495 nucleotides) under uncultured bacterium. RNAcentral describes it as "bacterial SSU rRNA". It matches the Rfam family "Bacterial small subunit ribosomal RNA", at positions 34 to 507 of the family's 1533-position model. The record is from RNAcentral.